RNAcentral lists this ribosomal RNA (442 nucleotides) under uncultured bacterium. RNAcentral describes it as "partial 16S ribosomal RNA". It matches the Rfam family "Bacterial small subunit ribosomal RNA", at positions 338 to 795 of the family's 1533-position model. The record is from RNAcentral.
CCUACGGGAGGCAGCAGUGGGGAAUAUUGCACAAUGGGGGGAACCCUGAUGCAGCGACGCCGCGUGAGUGAAGAAGUAUUUCGGUACGUAAAGCUCUAUCAGCAGGGAAGAAAAAAGGACGGUACCUGAGUAAGAAGCCCCGGCUAACUACGUGCCAGCAGCCGCGGUAAUACGUAGGGGGCAAGCGUUAUCCGGAAUUACUGGGUGUAAAGGGAGCGUAGACGGCAAUGCAAGUCCGGAGUGGAAUGCGGCAGCUCAACUGCCGAACUGCUCUGGAAACUGUAUGGCUGGAGUGCAGGAGGGGUAAGCGGAAUUCCUGGUGUAGCGGUGAAAGGCGUAGAUAUCAGGAGGAACACCGGUGGCGAAGGCGGCUUACUGGACCGUAACUGACGUUGAGGCUCGAAAGCGUGGGGAGCAAACAGGAUUAGAUACCCGUGUAGUC